UGGGGAAUUUUGGACAAUGGGCGAAAGCCUGAUCCAGCAAUGCCGCGUGUGUGAAGAAGGCCUUCGGGUUGUAAAGCACUUUUGUCCGGAAAGAAAUCCUUGGCUCUAAUACAGUCGGGGGAUGACGGUACCGGAAGAAUAAGCACCGGCUAACUACGUGCCAGCAGCCGCGGUAAUACGUAGGGUGCAAGCGUUAAUCGGAAUUACUGGGCGUAAAGCGUGCGCAGGCGGUUUGCUAAGACCGAUGUGAAAUCCCCGGGCUCAACCUGGGAACUGCAUUGGUGACUGGCAGGCUAGAGUAUGGCAGAGGGGGGUAGAAUUCCACGUGUAGCAGUGAAAUGCGUAGAGAUGUGGAGGAAUACCGAUGGCGAAGGCAGCCCCCUGGGCCAAUACUGACGCUCAUGCACGAAAAGCGUGGGGAGCAAAACAGGAUUAGAUACCCUGGUAGUCCACGCCCUAAAACGAUGUCAACUAGUUGUUGGGGAUUCAUUUCCUUAGUAACGUAGCUAACGCGUGAAGUUGACCGCCUGGGGAGUACGGUCGCAAGAUUAAAAACUUAAAUGAAUUGACGGGGUCAUAGCUG
RNAcentral lists this ribosomal RNA (583 nucleotides) under uncultured bacterium. Its description in RNAcentral is "partial 16S ribosomal RNA". It matches the Rfam family "Bacterial small subunit ribosomal RNA", at positions 355 to 932 of the family's 1533-position model. The record is from RNAcentral.